Virgibacillus chiguensis is the source of this 38-nucleotide non-coding RNA. Lineage: Bacteria; Bacillati; Bacillota; Bacilli; Caryophanales; Bacillaceae. The record is from Rfam.
ACGAUGUUCCGCUGCCAUUUAAAAGGCAUGAGCAUUGG